This 497-nucleotide ribosomal RNA is filed under the name uncultured bacterium. Its description in RNAcentral is "partial 16S ribosomal RNA". It matches the Rfam family "Bacterial small subunit ribosomal RNA", at positions 28 to 507 of the family's 1533-position model. The record is from RNAcentral.
GACGGACGCUGGCGGCGUGCCUAAUACAUGCAAGUUGAGCGAUGAAGCUUGGUGCUUGCACCAAUUUGAAGAGCAGCGAACGGGUGAGUAACGCGUGGGGAAUCUGCCUUUGAGCGGGGGACAACAUUUGGAAACGAAUGCUAAUACCGCAUAACAACUUUAAACAUAAGUUUUAAGUUUGAAAGAUGCAAUUGCAUCACUCAAAGAUGAUCCCGCGUUGUAUUAGCUAGUUGGUGAGGUAAAGGCUCACCAAGGCGAUGAUACAUAGCCGACCUGAGAGGGUGAUCGGCCACAUUGGGACUGAGACACGGCCCAAACUCCUACGGGAGGCAGCAGUAGGGAAUCUUCGGCAAGGGACGAAAGUCUGACCGAGCAACGCCGCGUGAGUGAAGAAGGGUGUCGGAUCGUAAAACUCGGUUGGUAGAGAAGAACGUUGGUGAGAGUGGAAAGCUCAUCAAGUGACGGUAACUACCCAGAAAGGGACGGCUAACUACGUG